Molecule: long non-coding RNA, 1459 nt
Filed under: Bos grunniens (domestic yak)
Lineage: Eukaryota; Metazoa; Chordata; Mammalia; Artiodactyla; Bovidae
Description: lncRNA (ENSBGRG00000015801.1)
Source: RNAcentral
UCCCGUCCCGGGGUGAGCGUGUCUCACCUCCAUCCUCCCGUCCCGGGGUGAGCGUGUCUCACCUCCAUCCUCCCGUCCCGGGGUGAGCGUGUCUCACUCUCCAUCCUCCCUGUCCCCUGGGGUGAACUCACCUCCAUCCUCCCCAUCCACGAGGGUGAGCGUGUCUCACCUCCAUCCUCCCGUCCCGGGGUGAGCGUGUCUCACCUCCAUCCUCCCGUCCCGGGGUGAGCGUGUCCCUCCAUCCUCCCUUGUCCCCGGGAUGAGCGUGUCCCUCCAUCCUCCCGUCCCGGGGUGAGCGUGUCUCACCUCCAUCCUCCCGUCCCGGGGUGAGCGUGUCUCACUCUCCAUCCUCCCUGUCCCCGGGUGAGUGUGUCUCACCUCCAUCCUCCCCGUCCCCAGGGUGAGCGUGUCUCACUCUCCAUCCUCCCUGUCCCCGGGUGAGCGUGUCCCUCCAUCCUCCCUGGCCCCGGGUGAGUGUGUCUCACUCUCCAUCCUCCCUGCCCCCGGGUGAGCGUGUCUCACCUCCAUCCUCCCUGCCCCCGGGUGAGCGUGUCACAGCUCCCUCCGCCCCAGCACGCGGCCCUGUCACACAUCAGACCCCUAGACCUCUGGGAGCAGGAUUGCUCCGUGAAUCAGGACCGACCCUGCUCUCGGGGACUCAGUGUCCUGCAGAGAAAUGGGACGGAGCCGGUGCCCUUCGGCAGCUCUGGGCACAGCUCAUGGGCUGGGCCCACGGGGCUGUAGGAGGAAGCCGCUGUCGACCUGCAUUUGGGGGCCAGGAGGAGCCUCCGCAGGUGUCCGGGAGGGGCGUGGUGAGGCAACAGGGCUGCCUGUGCCCGGGCACCGCCGUGGAUGCCAGGAGGGGUGUACACGGCGGGGACUCAGCAGACCCAUGGUGGGCUCCAGGCCGCUCUGUGCGGGCAUGCAGCCCAGCACCCAGGCCGCCUCCGCCCCGGGUGGCGCCGCCCAGCGGGCUCUCCGGCCAUCCCUGGUCCCACUGCAUGGCGGGCAGGCCUCUGCCCUCCUUCACUGUGGCCGUGCUGAGGGUGACCUCACGUGUGGUGCCCACUCCCUGCCCUGUGUGCACAGCGGGCCGGGCAGGGGCAGCAGCAGGGGAGCAGGGGCUUGUCCCAUUUCCUCCCUCGAGCGGGCCGGGCGGCUCAGCUCACGGGAGUCUGGUGUCCCACAGGCAGAAGAGGAGAAGAGGAAGAGGAAAGAGGAGGCUGCCGGGAAGAGGCAGGAGCAGGAGGUAGCGCCUGCCUGCGAGGGGCUUCCGCGGAAGGCACUUUACCCACUCUGCCGCCUGUGUCUCUCACAGCCUAGCUGCCCCCACCUCUGUCCCCCACAUCCACGUGGUGCCCCAGGGAGGCGGCGGCUGCGGGCUGGCGCCUGCCACCCUGGCCCUGCCGUGUGCCCGCACCCCUCUGUCCUACAGAAAACCUCCACUUUCCGCCUUUAA